AAUGAUCCCAGGUAGUCCACGCCGUAAACGAUGAGUGCUAAGUGUUAGGGGGUUUCCGCCCCUUAGUGCCGCAGCAAACGCAUUAAGCACUCCGCCUGGGGAGUACGGUCGCAAGACUGAAACUCAAAGGAAUUGACGGGGGCCCGCACAAGCGGUGGAGCAUGUGGUUUAAUUCGAAGCAACGCGAAGAACCUUACCAGGUCUUGACAUCCUCUGACAACCCUAGAGAUAGGGCUUCCCCUUCGGGGGCAGAGUGACAGGUGGUGCAUGGUUGUCGUCAGCUCGUGUCGUGAGAUGUUGGGUUAAGUCCCGCAACGAGCGCAACCCUUGAUCUUAGUUGCCAGCAUUCAGUUGGGCACUCUAAGGUGACUGCCGGUGACAAACCGGAGGAAGGUGGGGAUGACGUCAAAUCAUCAUGCCCCUUAUGACCUGGGCUACACACGUGCUACAAUGGGCAGAACAAAGGGCAGCGAAGCCGCGAGGCUAAGCCAAUCCCACAAAUCUGUUCUCAGUUCGGAUCGC
RNAcentral lists this ribosomal RNA (522 nucleotides) under uncultured bacterium. RNAcentral describes it as "bacterial SSU rRNA". It matches the Rfam family "Bacterial small subunit ribosomal RNA", at positions 779 to 1301 of the family's 1533-position model. The record is from RNAcentral.